GAUGAACGCUGGCGGUAUGCUUAACACAUGCAAGUCGAACGCGAAAAGUCCUUCGGGAUGAGUAGAGUGGCGGACGGGUGAGUAACGCGUAGGAAUCUGUCCUGUAGUGGGGGAGUAACGUUUCGAAAGGAACGCUAAUACCGCAUACGCCCCAAGGGGGAAAGGCGGGGGAGUCUUCGGACCUCGUGCUAUAGGAGGAGCCUGCGUCGGAUUAGCUAGUUGGUGAGGUAAAGGCUCACCAAGGCGACGAUCCGUAGCUGGUCUGAGAGGAUGAUCAGCCACACCGGAACUGAGACACGGUCCGGACUCCUACGGGAGGCAG
RNAcentral lists this ribosomal RNA (322 nucleotides) under uncultured Pseudomonadota bacterium. RNAcentral describes it as "bacterial SSU rRNA". It matches the Rfam family "Bacterial small subunit ribosomal RNA", at positions 28 to 351 of the family's 1533-position model. Lineage: Bacteria; Pseudomonadati; Pseudomonadota. The record is from RNAcentral.